Molecule: unclassified non-coding RNA, 329 nt
Filed under: soil metagenome
Description: partial contains 5.8S ribosomal RNA, internal transcribed spacer 2, and large subunit ribosomal RNA
Rfam family: 5.8S ribosomal RNA (bases 1-120)
Source: RNAcentral
GAUGAAGAACGUAGCGAAAUGCGAUAAGUAAUGUGAAUUGCAGAAUUCAGUGAAUCAUCGAAUCUUUGAACGCACAUUGCGCCCCCUGGUAUUCCGGGGGGCAUGCCUGUCCGAGCGUCAUUACAACCCUCAAGCUCAGCUUGGUGUUGGGCCCCGCCGCCCCGGCGGGCCCUAAAGUCAGUAGCGGUGCCGUCCGGCUCCGAGCGUAGUAAUUCUUCUCGCUCUGGAGGUCCGGUCGUGUGCUCGCCAGCAACCCCCAAUUUUUUUCAGGUUGACCUCGGAUCAGGUAGGGAUACCCGCUGAACUUAAGCAUAUCAAUAAGCGGAGGA